Molecule: ribosomal RNA, 428 nt
Filed under: uncultured Parachlamydia sp.
Lineage: Bacteria; Pseudomonadati; Chlamydiota; Chlamydiia; Parachlamydiales; Parachlamydiaceae
Description: bacterial SSU rRNA
Rfam family: Bacterial small subunit ribosomal RNA
Source: RNAcentral
UCGAGAAUCAUUCGCAAUGGGCGAAAAGCCUGACGAUGCGACGCCGUGUGUGUGAUGAAGGCCUUCGGGUCGUAAAGCACUUUCGCCUGGGAACAAGAGAGAUGGGCUAAUAACCCGUUAAUUUGAGGGUACCAGGUAAAGAAGCACCGGCUAACUACGUGCCAGCAGCUGCGGUAAUACGUAGGGUGCAAGCAUUAAUCGGAAUUAUUGGGCGUAUAGGGCGCGUAGGCGGAACUACAAGUCGAAUGUGAAAUCCCAGAGCUCAACUUUGGAACAGCAUUUGAAACUGUAUUUCUUGAGGGUAGGCGGAGAAAACGGAAUUCCACAAGUAGCGGUGAAAUGCGUAGAUAUGUGGAAGAACACCGGUGGCGAAGGCGGUUUUCUAGCUUACUCCUGACGCUGAGGCGCGAAAGCAAGGGGAUCAAACA